AUUGAACGCUGGCGGCAGGCCUAACACAUGCAAGUCGAACGAGUGGCGGACGGGUGAGUAAUGUCUGGGAAACUGCCUGAUGGAGGGGGAUAACUACUGGAAAAGGUAGCUAAUACCGCAUACCAGCGGAUGUGCCCAGAUGGGAUUAUCUAGUAGGUGGGGUAACGGCUCACCUAGGCGACGAUCCAUAGCUGGGCUGAGAGGAUGACCAGCCACACUGGAACUGUGCCACGGUCCAGAUCCCUACGGGAGGCAGCAGUGGGGAAUAUUGCACAAUGGUCGCAAGCCUGAUGCAGCCAUGCCGCGUGUAUGUAGAAGGCCUUCGGGUUGUAAAGUCCUUUCAGCGGGGAGGCGUUACCCGCAGAAGAAGCACCGGCUAACUCCGUGCCAGCAGCCGCGGUAAUUC
This 406-nucleotide ribosomal RNA is filed under the name uncultured bacterium. Its description in RNAcentral is "partial 16S ribosomal RNA". It matches the Rfam family "Bacterial small subunit ribosomal RNA", at positions 30 to 526 of the family's 1533-position model. The record is from RNAcentral.